This 253-nucleotide ribosomal RNA is filed under the name uncultured bacterium. RNAcentral describes it as "partial 16S ribosomal RNA". It matches the Rfam family "Bacterial small subunit ribosomal RNA", at positions 524 to 776 of the family's 1533-position model. The record is from RNAcentral.
UACAGAGGUCUCAAGCGUUGUUCGGAUUCAUUGGGCGUAAAGGGUGUGUAGGUGGCGCCGUAAGUCGGGUGUGAAAUUUCGGAGCUUAACUCCGAAACUGCAUUCGAUACUGCGGUGCUUGAGGACUGGAGAGGAGACUGGAAUUCAUGGUUUAGCAGUGAAAUGCGUAGAGAUCAUGAGGAAGACCAGUGGCGAAGGCGGGUCUCUGGACAGUUCCUGACACUGAGACACGAAGGCCAGGGGAGUAAACGGG